GAUACCCAUCAUGUCUUUUGCUCUACAGUCAGUAAAAUUUAUUUGUGAAUGUGUGGCAAAAGAUAGGAUGGGGGUCCA
This 78-nucleotide microRNA precursor is filed under the name Nannospalax galili (Upper Galilee mountains blind mole rat). Its description in RNAcentral is "microRNA 511 (ENSNGAG00000007894.1)". It matches the Rfam family "mir-511 microRNA precursor family". The record is from RNAcentral. Lineage: Eukaryota; Metazoa; Chordata; Mammalia; Rodentia; Spalacidae.